GCCAGGCGCGGUGGUGCACGCCUGUAAUCCCAGCAGCUUGGGAGGCUGAGGCAGGAGGAUUGUGAGUUCAAAGCCAGCCUCAG
Molecule: small RNA, 83 nt
Filed under: Marmota monax (woodchuck)
Lineage: Eukaryota; Metazoa; Chordata; Mammalia; Rodentia; Sciuridae
Source: RNAcentral